RNAcentral lists this ribosomal RNA (253 nucleotides) under uncultured bacterium. Its description in RNAcentral is "partial 16S ribosomal RNA". It matches the Rfam family "Bacterial small subunit ribosomal RNA", at positions 524 to 776 of the family's 1533-position model. The record is from RNAcentral.
GACAGAGGAUGCAAGCGUUAUCCGGAAUGAUUGGGCGUAAAGCGUCUGUAGGUGGCUUUUUAAGUCUGCCGUCAAAUCCCAGGGCUUAACCCUGGACAGGCGGUGGAAACUACCAAGCUGGAGUACGGUAGGGGCAGGGGGAAUUUCCGGUGGAGCGGUGAAAUGCGUAGAGAUCGGAAAGAACACCAACGGCGAAAGCACUCUGCUGGGCCGACACUGGCACUGAGAGACGAAAGCUAGGGGAGCGAAUGGG